Molecule: ribosomal RNA, 401 nt
Filed under: Crustacea environmental sample
Lineage: Eukaryota; Metazoa; Arthropoda
Description: partial small subunit ribosomal RNA
Rfam family: Eukaryotic small subunit ribosomal RNA
Source: RNAcentral
GCUUGUCUCAAAGAUUAAGCCAUGCAUGUCUAAGUAUAAACGAUUAUACAGUGAAACUGCGAAUGGCUCAUUAUAUCAGUUAUAAUUUAUUUGAUAGUACCUUACUACUUGGAUAACUGUGGUAAUUCUAGAGCUAAUACAUGCAAAAAAACCCGACUUCUGGAGAGAUGCUUUUAUUAGAUCAAAACCAAACGGCUUCGGCCGUCUCAUUGGUGACUCUGAAUAACUUUGGGCUGAUCGUAUGGCCUUGUGCCGACGACGUUUCCUUCGAAGGUGUGCCCUAUCAACUGUCGACUGUGAUAUAGACGCUCACAGUGGUUUUGACGGGUAACGGGGAAUCAGGGUUCGAUUCCGGAGAGGGAGCCUUAAAAACGGCUACCACAUCCAAGGAAGGCAGCAGG